AAUAGAUACCCUGGUAGUCCAUGCCGUAAACGUUGGGCACUAGGUGUGGGGCUCAUUCCACGAGUUCCGUGCCGCAGCAAACGCAUUAAGUGCCCCGCCUGGGGAGUACGGCCGCAAGGCUAAAACUCAAAGGAAUUGACGGGGGCCCGCACAAGCGGCGGAGCAUGCGGAUUAAUUCGAUGCAACGCGAAGAACCUUACCAAGGCUUGACAUGCACGGGAAGCCACCAGAGAUGGUGGUCUCUUUGGACACUCGUGCACAGGUGGUGCAUGGUUGUCGUCAGCUCGUGUCGUGAGAUGUUGGGUUAAGUCCCGCAACGAGCGCAACCCUCGUCCCAUGUUGCCAGCGGGUUAUGCCGGGGACUCAUGGGAGACUGCCGGGGUCAACUCGGAGGAAGGUGGGGAUGACGUCAAAUCAUCAUGCCCCUUAUGUCUUGGGCUUCACGCAUGCUACAAUGGCCGGUACAAAGGGCUGCGAUACCGUAAGGUGGAGCGAAUCCCAAAAAGCCGGUCUCAGUUCGGAUUGGGGU
Molecule: ribosomal RNA, 529 nt
Filed under: uncultured bacterium
Lineage: Bacteria
Description: bacterial SSU rRNA
Rfam family: Bacterial small subunit ribosomal RNA
Source: RNAcentral